This 468-nucleotide ribosomal RNA is filed under the name uncultured bacterium. RNAcentral describes it as "partial 16S ribosomal RNA". The stretch from base 48 to 468 matches the Rfam family "Bacterial small subunit ribosomal RNA", at positions 35 to 507 of the family's 1533-position model. The record is from RNAcentral.
GGGGGGGGGGGGCGGGGGGCGGGGGGGGGGGGGGGCGGGGGGGGGGGGCCGGCGGGUGGGGGGGGCGCGGGGGGCGAGCGGGGGAGUAACGCGUGAGUCACCUGGCCUUGACUUUGGGGUAACGUCAGGCAACUGGGGCUAAUACCGGGUAGGAGCUCCUGAUGCAUGGUGGGGGUUGGCAAGGUUCGGCGGUUGGGGAUGGACUCGCGGCUUAUCAGCUUGUUGGUGGGGUAGUGGCUUACCAAGGCUUUGACGGGUAGCCGGCCUGAGAGGGUGACCGGCCACAUUGGGACUGAGAUACGGCCCAGACUCCUACGGGAGGCAGCAGUGGGGAAUAUUGCACAAUGGGCGGAAGCCUGAUGCAGCAACGCCGCGUGCGGGAUGACGGCCUUCGGGUUGUAAACCGCUUUCGCCUGUGACGAAGCGUGAGUGACGGUAAUGGGUAAAGAAGCACCGGCUAACUACGUG